Acanthosepion pharaonis is the source of this 112-nucleotide non-coding RNA. The record is from the annotation of a GenBank genome assembly. NCBI's taxonomy places the organism in Eukaryota, Metazoa, Mollusca, Cephalopoda, Sepiida, Sepiidae.
UACGGCCAUAUCACAUAAAAACGGCGGUUCCCAUACGAUCACCGAAGUUGAGUCAUGUCGAGCCUGAUCAGUACCUGGAUGGGUGGCCGCUUGGAAACAACAGGUGAUGUAA